Molecule: ribosomal RNA, 116 nt
Filed under: Erosa erosa (pitted stonefish)
Lineage: Eukaryota; Metazoa; Chordata; Actinopteri; Perciformes; Synanceiidae
Description: partial 16S rRNA
Source: RNAcentral
GCCAAACAGCUAGCCUCACAGAGAAAAGCCAACAAAUAACCAUUAAUAACCCCUAAUGUAAUAAAACGGAUCAAGCAAAACCAUUUUUCCCCUUUAGUAUAGGCGAUAGAAAAAGA